This 252-nucleotide ribosomal RNA is filed under the name uncultured bacterium. RNAcentral's name for it is "partial 16S ribosomal RNA". It matches the Rfam family "Bacterial small subunit ribosomal RNA", at positions 524 to 776 of the family's 1533-position model. The record is from RNAcentral.
UACGUAGGGUGCAAGCGUUGUCCGGAAUUAUUGGGCGUAAAGAGCUCGUAGGCGGUCUGUCGCGUCGGCUGUGAAAACCCGGAGCUCAACUCCGGGCCUGCAGUCGAUACGGGCAGACUGGAGUUCGGCAGGGGAGACUGGAAUUCCUGGUGUAGCGGUGAAAUGCGCAGAUAUCAGGAGGAACACCAGUGGCGAAGGCGGCUCCUGGCCUGUUCUUGACGCUGAGGCGCGAAAGCUAGGGGAGCAAACGGG